This 70-nucleotide transfer RNA is filed under the name Leptosomus discolor (cuckoo roller). RNAcentral describes it as "tRNA-Glu". The record is from RNAcentral. Lineage: Eukaryota; Metazoa; Chordata; Aves; Leptosomiformes; Leptosomidae.
GUUUCUAUAGUUGAAGAUUCAACGGCAACUUUUCAGGUUGCAGGUCUUGGAGAGAAGCCAAGUGGAAAUU